UACAGAGGGUGCUAGCGUUGCUCGGAAUGACUGGGCGUAAAGGGCGCGUAGGCGGUUUUGACAGUCAGACGUGAAAUUCCUGGGCUCAACCUGGGGGCUGCGUUUGAUACGUCGGGACUGGAGUGCGGAAGAGGGUCGUGGAAUUCCCAGUGUAGAGGUGAAAUUCGUAGAUAUUGGGAAGAACACCGGUGGCGAAGGCGGCGACCUGGUCCGUGACUGACGCUGAGGCGCGAAAGCGUGGGGAGCAAACAGG
This 253-nucleotide ribosomal RNA is filed under the name uncultured bacterium. RNAcentral describes it as "partial 16S ribosomal RNA". It matches the Rfam family "Bacterial small subunit ribosomal RNA", at positions 524 to 776 of the family's 1533-position model. The record is from RNAcentral.